Gavialis gangeticus (Gharial) is the source of this 206-nucleotide long non-coding RNA. RefSeq lists it as uncharacterized. NCBI's taxonomy places the organism in Eukaryota, Metazoa, Chordata, Crocodylia, Gavialidae. The record is from RefSeq and is a predicted model, not a curated record. The transcript has 3 exons.
AGAUCCUGCACACAGUGGGUGGACGUGGAAGACGACACGAGACCUGCAUCACAGAGACCAACUGGCGGCUUCGGGAAUGGUGUCUUGAGGCAGGCUUCAGCUUCCAAGACGACCCACACAUCACAACGAGAGACAUACUCGGGUGGGAUGGGCUUCACCUUUCCCCCAAAGGUAACCAUGUAUUCUCCGCUAGGUUGGCGGAUCUC